AUCAAAAUUCCGUCCUUAUACUUCAAAGCAACCACAGAUGUACCCGUCACAUACGGAUACAGUGUUCUUUCAGAAGCAGAUUCAGGGCCCAAAAGCUGGGCGGGUUCGGAACCGACCUCCUUCACCAUUGUCGUGGCCAUGGUUGUUCUGUGGAUCAAACUGAAAGAAUUAAAGCAGAGGAAGAUGAGAGUAGAAUGAAUAUGUG
RNAcentral lists this unclassified non-coding RNA (205 nucleotides) under Hevea brasiliensis (rubber tree). The record is from RNAcentral. Lineage: Eukaryota; Viridiplantae; Streptophyta; Magnoliopsida; Malpighiales; Euphorbiaceae.